Long non-coding RNA from Brassica rapa (field mustard), 3574 nucleotides. RefSeq lists it as uncharacterized. NCBI's taxonomy places the organism in Eukaryota, Viridiplantae, Streptophyta, Magnoliopsida, Brassicales, Brassicaceae. The record is from RefSeq and is a predicted model, not a curated record.
UUUCUUAUUAUAUCCAUUAGGCCUGAAACUGAUCCGAAUAUGCGGGAAAUUUAGGAUACUCGGAUUCGGAUCUGUCGGAUUUAAUAUCUGGAAACGGACUCGUAGUUUUCGGAUAUCAAGAUUUUGGAUAUCCGUCUAGAUAUUAUAUUAUCCGCAGGUAUCCGAAUUCAGAUAAGAAUGCAUAAAAAUAAUUAAAAAAUAUUUUGUUUAAAAUACUAAUUUAAAAAAAAAAAUUCUUAAAUUGAAUAUUUAUACAAGAAUUAUAUAUAGAUAUAUAUGUGUGUGUAUAAUAUUGUAAAAAUUGAAAUAUAAUAUUAUAAAAUUAAUUAAUUUAUAAAUAUUAUUAUAUCAAUAAAUAUUAAAUUUAAUCUUUUAAUAUAUUUUCAAAAUUUGGAUCCGGAUCCGGAUAUUUGACCUAAAAAUUUAGAUAUCCGGAUUUGGAUUUGAGGGAUCCAAGAUUUUACUAUCCAAAUUUAGAUCUGAUCAUCACAAAUAUACUAUUUUCGGAGCAGAUCUGGAGCGAAUCUCGGAUCAGAUCCGUAUCCCAGAUAAUAUUCCUAGGCCUAAUAUCCACAUCGUCAAGAAAAAUAAUAUAUAUUGUAUUUUUGUAUAUAUAUAACCAAUUAGAAUGAAUAUUAAUAUAUUUUUUGAAACACAAAUUGUUUUGGAAAAUAAUAUAGAUCAUAGUUUUGCAAAUGAACAAGUUAAUAUUUCAAUGCUAAAUUAUUAACAUCAUUUUUUUUUGUUUUCUUAUAAUUCAAAUAUAAUUCGGUAGAUUAUAUGAGAAAAACUUCAUAUUAAUAUUUUUUUAAACUAAGGUAAUGUUAACUAAUUACAUUAUUCGAUAGUUUAUAGUCUAAGCAUGAGAUUUCAUAAAAAUUAACAUAUUUUAAAUAUAUUUUAAUUGGUAUAUGUAAAUAAGAAAAACAUAUUAAUCUACAAAAUGGGCAUUCACUUGUUGGUGGUAAAAUGCUAAAACAGUAAAAAAAAAAAAAAAAUCAAAGCCCAAUUACCAAGUUAACUAAUUUAGCGUAGGAAAAAGAAAAAUAAAAAACGUUAGAUUAACGUUCAUUAAAAAAAAAACUCACAUCGCCAUCUAAACAAUGAUAUGUAGGGUUUCGAUGUUCCAUGUUCAUCAACGAUUUAAAUUCUUUCCAAACUUUCAAGAUGCUAUCAAUCGUGAAAUUGAUAGAAUCAAGGUAUUGACUUCUUAAUUUUUCGUUGUGAAAGCUGUACCAGGUUGAUCCUCUGUUUGAUAUUGGGUUUACUUGCAGAUGUAAGAACUUGAGACAUAUAACAAACAGAAGUAGACAUUAAAGAUAUCAAAAUUAAGACUAUUUGGAGAUCGGUGGUCCAUUGCAAAGAUUGGUGAUGUAAUGGACAGAGUGGUCGUAUUAAGUUGUUAUCUCGAGAGAGGAGCAAAUCCAUCACUGUAAAGAAGAUGAACCCCACAUGAAAGUCUAAGAAAAAGAAACUUAUCAAAAUAAUUGUUCUUCGAUGAAAGAAUAAGAAAGAUAUGGAGCAUGAAGAAAAGGGUAAAAAAAUAACGGCUCACAUGAAGAUCCAAACUGAAUCUGAGGCAAGAGUUGCAUCAAGGGAACUCUUCCAAAAAGUUGUCAAGCGCCAGGAGCAGAGUUCAUUAAACUGGGUGACUUUGAUGCUUCCUUUCAGAAACUGAUGCCUAGUCAGAGGAUGAAACAACCCGAAUCACUUGCAAAUCUCAGACUACAAUUGAUGGUAAAUGAGACAACCCAAAUGAGUGCGCUUCUCUGCAACAUUUGAUGGUAAUCACGGUUAGUACUCUAUUUUAAGGUUUUAACUCAUAUAAGAAUGGUUGAGUGAAUCAUUACCUUAGUAAUAUAUGUUUGGUUUUAAUUGAUUAAGUGAUGCAUACGUGAAUGAUUGUGUUAUAUAUAACUUAAAAAUUAAAGCAAAAUCACUUCAAAUAGCUCAAUGGAAAUGAUUUGGUGUGUCAAAAAAAAAGGAAAAGCGUACUUAUAUAAAAUAAAUGUUCGAUAAUAAGACUUGCAAAAUGUUGUUCACAUACCCUCUACUCUACGUGUGGGUAUUUGAAACCUACAUGUAACAGAACAAAAUUAAUAUAUUUUUUAUUAUAAUUAUCUUUCUACAACAUACAAUGAAACACGCAUAGAAACAUUCCAAAAUUGAACACACAGCUACGUAAAACAUGGAUUAUAAGAAUAGAUUAAAGUCACCCUACAAAGAAAUAAUGAUAUUCGUAAUAGAUCAACUCGCAUAUAAAGUGCUAAAACGUAUUCUUUGAAAAAAUCUUAAAGUUUCAUUGUCUGACACCAUUUCAAGCAUCUUGCCUCCGGUAUGACGUGUUUCUUUUCCACGAAUGAAUCAAUUUAACGUGAACUCUCUAUCCAGUUUUAAAAGAUUUGGCUUUUUUGAGAAGAGUAAAACUGAAAAACUGAUAAUUUCAGACAUGUUUAGGUUGUUGAGUGAAUAAGAAUGAGUAUUGACGGUAGAGGAAUGGGAUAUCUCACAAUACUAAAAGCUCUUGAGCUAGAGCAUUGAGACUAUCCACGUAGGACUGAAAAUUCAGGCUAACCAGGGACCUCUAAAUUGACAAGUCAUUAAAACAAUAUACAUAUCACCAAAUCACUUUUCUCUGUCACCUUUUCACGUCAAUUCCAAUCCCUCCUUGGUCUUCUUCCGCUUCGUCUGCCUCUGCAAACCAACACUUUCACCGGUUACAAAUCCUUUACUCCUUAUUAUUCUUUUGAGCUUUCCUCUCUUUCCUUCCUCACUAUAUAAGAGUGGUAGAUUCACGAAAAAUUCCUCUCACUAGAACCACCAGAGCUCUUCAUCGCCUCCGGGGAAAACAGAGUAGUUAGCAAGGCCGUUUAGUUUUAGUCCCAUCACUUUACCUCUGUAUACAGUUUUCUGUAAAAAUAAUUACUCCUUAAUAUUUGGUAAGUCACUCACCGCCUUGCUCCUGGUACGUGCAAAGCAUCACUUAAGCUUUGAAAAGUUUUCUUUGAAAAGUGUUCUUGGGAGUUGUCUGUGAUCUUUUUCUUUUUGAUCAUUUAUGAUAUUGUGAGAUUGUUAGGAACAAGAAACAACAAACGGUUGAGAAAAUGGAGGGAGAUGGAGGAGUUCGAGCUCCAUCACUGGUGGAGCUUACGGUUGAGGAUUCUGAGUUUACGGUUGUUGGACGUGUAAAAGGAGGAGAUGAAGCUUUACAUGACAGGAUUCGUCAUCUGGUUUCUCAGGUUUUCUAAUUCUCAAUCUCUGUUUUGAUGAUAAAACAAUCCAUACGAAUGGACCAACUGAAAAUGGGCAAAUUGAUUUCAAGGAGAUGUAAUCUUAACACAAUUUCAAGGUUUGCAUAGCGCAAGAACGACGUUCGAGCAAUCCCCGCUUCAUCUGGCCAUCACUUUGUCUUCUAAUGCUAUGACUCCAAGGUUGAAGCAAGCUCAUUGAAUGAAGAAAGUGUCACUGCCACAGAAGAUUUGGAUGAGCAUGCUAAUGAAGAGGAAGAGGUGGAGUAAAUUGUUUGGCAGCAGCGAUGUCACCCCUGUGAGGAAAGUUAAAUAUAUGAUGAGGU